CUUCACGAAGUUCCUGGUUGUCUGAUAUUGGAUUUCUUUCCACCAAGCGAAAUUUUAAAGUUAUUCUGUAUAGUUAAGACAUUCACUUGUUUUCCUGGUAGAGCUAUGUGUGUACUUUUUACAAUCGCGGUUGUUGGCUUGGACGGAGUCUUUGUGACACUUAGUGGCGUAUUGGUUUUUGUAUUGACUCCUGGUGUGGUGAUGAGUUUGUUGAUUGUUGUGGUGGGUAGGGGUGUAGUGCCUGCGUGCGUUUUGAUAGUUGGGACUGGACCUGGAGGACCUGGGGGUAUAGGUUUUGUUGUAGGGUGUACUGUGGGAGAGGGGCAUAUAGGCAAACCUUGAGAACAGAGUGAAUGGUAGGGUGGUUGUUGGCACAGUGUUAUAUCAAUG
Non-coding RNA from Paramuricea clavata, 390 nucleotides. The record is from the annotation of a GenBank genome assembly. NCBI's taxonomy places the organism in Eukaryota, Metazoa, Cnidaria, Anthozoa, Malacalcyonacea, Plexauridae.